CCCCACCACACUGGUUGUCUUACACAGGCAGACACUACAGGGCACAGCAACUGGGAGACAGACAUUCACAUAUGUAUGUAUGUACGCACGCACAUACACACAAACACACACGUUCUUGUUUUGGUUUACGACCAGUAGUUUUCCAUCAGUUAAAGAAAUGACACAGGACAAAUUCCAUUGGUGAAUCUUUCACUUGAGUUGACCCAGCCUAAAUACACUAUAUGUCAAUGUCUCAGAGUCUAUCGCUGACCAGUGGAGAAUGAGUCAUACAGUUACAGAUGUCUUUAAAAUGAGUUCAAUUCAUUGGAAUAUGACUGUAUGUGUUGCUUACUGUCUUGAAGCUUGUUGCCAAGUCAGACUCACAGACAGGGGUGUUGAUGGCUAGUUCCUGAUGUGAAGACUGGGUUCCCGUACAGGAGUCUCCUGAUCAGUGUUCACCCGUAUCUCAGUACUCUCAGAUUACAGUCCGUGCUAUCAUGUUUUACCUCUCUGUUCCUCAUCCUUACCAGGGGUUUAUAGUGUAAACAGACAGAAACCACAUGGAGUAAACAGCAGUGGACUCACGUUCCCACGGAAGCUUACAAGGAUGUGCUGACCUGACUGUAGUUUGUAUAGCAUUUCCUUUCAAUUGCUGAUAUUUUAUGCCAAAGACUUUGACAUAAAGUAGGACGUUGGCUUAAAGUAAAACUAAAAACCAGAUUGAGGUUGAGAUCUCCAUGAUCAAUAAAACAACUGAACAUCCAUUACAGUACUGCGCCAUCACUUUAAAACUGUGAUUUCACGUUGUUGGUUGAUGCUAUAACUGAUGCCAAAGCCCAGCAGUGUGUGUGUGUGAUCUGUCAUUGAGAUUUCCUCAUGACUCUUAAGUCAGCGUUAGAUGAUAGAGAUAGAGUGCAGGUUAUUUUGCAGCAAAGGCAUUUCAUCAACUUCUGCCUCUCCGCGUCAGUUUUGGGAAAGAGUGGUUGACGUCAGAUUUCUCUCCCAGCGGGAAGAACUGAAGAGAGAGAGAAUGAGAUCCACUGUGCCAUUCAAUUACACAUGCGUAUGUCUUUAAACACAUGACAGAUUCAUCAUAGUUAUGCUAUGUUUGGAUGUUGACGAUGACCUUUCCCAGGCCUGUAGGACACUUUGUACAGAAAUAAGUUGGAGUUGGAGUUCCAGUUCAAGUUUAAGUUUAACUGGGCAGUGGUGUUACCUUACAGCAACUGCUUUAUAGUCAACAAAUACAAUGAAUAUGGCUUCAUUGGCAUUUAUAAUUUACAGCACUUACUAAAUAGGCAUGCUCACCUUUGCACCGACACUUACGGACCAUGUCCCUCACAGACCAUUUGGCAGAAGAGACUAUACACAGAACGGAGACGAGUUAACUUAAUCAUUGUUCCCAUUUUGUCAUAAAUGUUGAAAUGCUGCAACAAUGCGUUACUGAUCAACCCCUGAGAACGCAACAGUCCAUUCAAAAGGUGUGAAGUACAUUCACUGUUUAACAUCGGUUAGUCAUUGACCUUGUGAUGUUCAGGUGUCAUAAAUCUACAGAACUGACAACAUGCAGGUGUGAAUGACUUACCUAUGUAAUGCAGAAAGUGUAUUGUAAACUCACAUAUAAUAUACUGCAUACUGUCUUGUACCUGUGCUGUCGCAUCAAAUGGAGACCAUGACGACCAGAAGGAGAGACACAGAUGAUCUUGGACAUGAUGAUGGCAGCCGUGGACACUGGACAAAGCAGAGAAAGAGAUAGGUCUGCACAGGCUGUCGGGGCUUUUUGUUUUCGUCUGCCACAGGCCUGCCUUCCCAACUGAUAUGUGAAGAUGAAGGGGCAAGAAAAGGCAGGAAAACAGGAUGUGAAACACAAAAACCCAUGAAGACCCAUCUAUGGCCAGCCUCAAUGCUACAAGAGCUGUUGUGGUGGUGGUGGUUGAGACUGAUUGGGGCUGUGUUUAUAUUAAUCUGGUAAAUAUUCAAUCCACUAGGAAUCUGUAACUAGGGCUACAAUAUGCAAGGUGGGUGAUCAUUGCCCAACCAUUAGUUGUUGCAUUUUUACCAAUGGUUUUCCAAUCUGUAACUAUUCAAAGAAAAGCCUCCAGAUGGAAAAUUAACAUUUCUUUCUCUGAUUAUAUCUGUUUACCUGGAAUUUAUCAGUCAUUGUGUGUGCUCUCUGCAAUCAUAUCACAUUAUUCAUGAUUUAUAAACUAUUUUUAAAAUAAAAUGUUAACAUUUA
Salmo salar (Atlantic salmon) is the source of this 2215-nucleotide non-coding RNA. The record is from RefSeq and is a predicted model, not a curated record. NCBI's taxonomy places the organism in Eukaryota, Metazoa, Chordata, Actinopteri, Salmoniformes, Salmonidae.